UUUUACAUCCAGUAUAAAAACUUCAAUAUAUAUACACUACAGAGAAGAUUGGCAUGACCCAUACGCAAGAAUGACACGCACAAAUCUUUAGACAAUGUGCAUAGCCAU
This is a small nuclear RNA of Lycium ferocissimum, 108 nucleotides long. NCBI's taxonomy places the organism in Eukaryota, Viridiplantae, Streptophyta, Magnoliopsida, Solanales, Solanaceae. The record is from RefSeq and is a predicted model, not a curated record.